Molecule: long non-coding RNA, 4201 nt
Organism: Ictalurus punctatus (channel catfish)
Lineage: Eukaryota; Metazoa; Chordata; Actinopteri; Siluriformes; Ictaluridae
Exons: 2
Source: RefSeq, a predicted model, not a curated record
UAAAAGUAUUUACAUUAAUCUUAUAGUACAUGUGUACUAUGUUGUGGAUAAAAAAUGUCAUAAAAUAAACAUAAGGGAGACCUAGCAUCCAGCAAAAGGGAGAAGAAGAAAAAACGGGCACCUAGACACAUAGAAGCGGGAUUAGGCGGACAUUGACGGAUUGGAAUUACACUUUAAAGAUCUUUAAGAGCAGUAGUAGUCAAAAAAAGCCAAAAAGAGGUAUACGAGCUGAGCUGAGGAGUGCUAAUACACACACACACACGCUCGUACAGUCAAGGGCGGGCAAGUAGACACAACAUACACACACACUCUCUUCCUCAUACACACACAUGAAUAACUUUAAUAAAAUCUUAUAGUAAUAGAGAAACUCUAUAAAAAAAACAGAAUAGUAGGAUAUGCAGGACAGUAGAACUGUAAUGAUAUUAAGAAGUUGGAAGUACAGUAAACCACUUUUCAAGUAGUAUAAAUAUAUAUAAAAUAAGAAAUAUAGUGCAAAUAUGAAAAUAAAUUAUUAUUUUCAUAUUCAUAUAAUAUGAAAAUAAAUUAUUAUCCCCCCCGAGAUAACGAUAAGACCAAGGUCCCUCCCGGUUGUUUAGUCGUCUUGUCUACGUCAUUUUAUUUCCCUAGGUAAUUGAGAAUCCUGGUUUCUGACCACCUAAGGUAAAUGAGAAUCCUGGUUUCUGAUUCUCUGUGUAAUUCAAAACUCUGGGUUUUUAUUUUCUGGGUUAUUAGAAAUGCCUGGGUUCUGAUUCUAUGUGUAAGUGAAAUAGGCCUUUUCUGGAAACAUAUGGGUUAUCUAGUGUGUAAAUACAGUAUAAAUACUGGAGCUUAAGCUCAGGGUAUUGGGAUCACUUUUGAGAAUUCUCAUCGGUGUGGAUCUCCUGUGGUGGAAUGGAACAAUAAAGCUGGACCCUUGCUUCUUCUCACUCACGGCUGGUGUAUUUUUUCUAUCUCCAACUGGGCUCAGAGGUAGAUGUGAGUAUUGGCUUCUAAGUUGAGUUUUAAAUGUUUUUGGGUAAUAGGCUAAAUUUGAGCCAACAUUUGGCACCCCAGAUGGGACUGGGCUAAGAUCUACAUGUCUGGAAUCUCUCCCGUGGGACUUCACUCUCUAAGCAACAGACAGGCCGUAUAGGAAAAGGCAUUGCAGACGCCUGUUAUUUCAAAGCUCUGUUUUAGUGGUCUGUUGCUACGACUGAGAAGCCCCGGGGUGGGAAGAAAGACUAAGUGGGUCUCCAAAAGAACCUUGAGUGAGUGAGAAGAGGUAAGACAAGUGUAGAUUGUAGAAGAUUGUACUUAUUGUAAUUGUAUAAGGUUCAUAAGACUGUGUAAGGAUAUGGUAUAUGUGUUGUGUGAGUGAAAGUCCUGCAAUACCGCUGGAGGAAGGGAAAAAAGGUAGAAAAAAGAGAAGAGAAAUAGAGAAAUACUCCAGGGCGGGGAUAGAAAGCAGGUGGAAAAUGAGGCCUCAGACCCCAGAUACCGGCUACUAGACUAGACUAGCAGUCUAGUGGCGGCUGCAUUGGUGGGGACCCCUAAUACCGCUGGAAAAGGAUUAGAUAAAAGAUAGAUAGAUUAGAUUCCAGGGCUGGAUAGAGAGGGGAAUAAAUCCUGGGCCCAGGUCCGGGUCGUGCAAUACAGCAUGCCCGGUGUAUGAAUGGAAUAUGUACUAACAAAUGUGUGUGCUUAAAAUAUAUGUGCUUAUAAUAUGUAUAAUAUGAGUGUGGUGUGAGAGCGUGUAAGUUUUGGAGACAGGGAAAAUGUAUUUAUUAGUGCUCUGAACAUGAGCUCCAUACCUAAAGUAUUGGAUAAGUUGGAUAAGAUUUAGAGAAAAGAAUUUUUUUUUUGGAGAAAGUUGGAUUUAAUUUGUAUGACUGUAAGCUUCAUGCAUACGGAGCUGGUAAAACUUCAUGUAGUAACAUAAAUAAGUGUAAUAAUGUGGAAUACAAUGUGUGUAUGGGAGCUUGCCGGCGUUGUUGAUAGAAAGGAGGGGUGUAUGUGUGUGUUCCUGUCUGUUCUUAUCUGUGCGUUUGUGUGGAAGGGGAAAAAAAAAAUAAGGGAGAAGAAGGUAAGACCAUUCGGUGUGUGUGUGCUUUUCAGAGUGAUUUUGGUAAGGCAGAGCAUUGUGAGAUAUCUUGCGGUCUUCGAAUGUUUUGAAUCCGUUGAAUCCGGUACAUACUUUUGAUUGUGUGAUCCAGGGAAAAAGGAAGACUGAAGGCGGAAAAAAAGUGUGCAUUUUCAGGCCCCAGAAGCCACUGUUAAGAAAUGAGUGAGUCCGACGCUCGAAAUGUGGAGGAGAAAGUCCAUUUGGACCUUUCAUUUAUAUUCCAUUUAUAUUUAUAUUUCAUUUCAUUUAUAUUUGUAGUAUUUUGGUAACUAUUGUUAUACAACUUGAAGUUAGUAAAUUAUAUAAAAAAAAAUUGCGUUCACAAUUAUGGUAAAUAAGUACAUAAGACUUAAAUUCCUUUUAAAUAAUGUGGAAAAACUAGUUGGAACAACAUUAUUUCUCUGAGUAAUCAAGUUAAAAACUUGUGUUUAUUAUACAGAUUAUUAAAUGAGUUUUAAUGGAAGACAUUUGACUGUAGAGGAAAAGGUGAUUUCUCCAACUCAAUGUGCUUCAUUGGUUGAAAUUAACUUAAAGUUGUCAUAACUCAAAAAUGAUGGGUGUUUUGCAAAACUGUCUGUGUGGUUCGCCUAAAAGAGUUUUAUGUGUGUUUGUUGUUUGUUUAGUAUUAUGGUGUUACUGUGCGUGUUCCAAGUUAGGAGGGAGGGUCUCCUUCCGGCCCGGCUCCUCAGUCUCCUGGCAUGACACCAGACUGGAUUGAGACCGUGUUGCGCAGAUUGUACACAGUUCCAUGUUUAGAUGGGAUACGCGGCUGGUCAGAAUCAUGCGCGCCGGAGCUCCAAAUCAUUCUUUUCAUUUUAAUUUGAAUUCCGUGUGUUUCCCUGUUUGGAAACUGAAUGAAAGUGUUUUGAGUUCCAUGGUGACGGUUAUCUAAACCAGAGAUAUUCGUGCGAGAGAUUUCUGUUUCUUCCCCUUUUUCCAAUCCUUUAGUUAUCUCACGCCCUAUAUUAAAGUCAAAGUGAUUCAAUAUAUAUAUAUAUACGUAAAUAUAUUCCUGUAAAAAUUAAAAUCAACCAGCAUGUCUCGAUGGUAUCAGUCCGGAGAGAACUUUAAUAAUAGUUUAUAUGGUGUGCAUUGUGCCACAUAGUUUCUUCUGCACAGACAUCUUUGCCUGACUAAUGAUAAAAUUGAUCAGCUGACAUGUGAACCUGUUCGUUUUGAGUGAUAUUAAUAAAAAACCCUGAAAAGUAAAACCGACCCGAGGUAACAGUCUCUGGCUGAUCACAAUGUGGUCCGUAUCAGGCUAGGUCACAUCCUCCCUGUUGAGAUAAUGUUGAGCCUAAACAUUUGGUUUUAGAGAGCAGUCUACCUUCAUGAACUGACUCGCUAACAAGAGCUGGAGUAACCAUAACUAAUUUGUGUAUCGGUGAUUGUUAUACGGGUACGUGUCUAUACAAUAUCUUAAGCAGUGUAAAUGCGAAUUCUUCUGGCGUGUGGUAUUCAUGUUGUAUAAUGCUGAAUAAUUUCUGCAUGUUUUCUCUUUAAAUGCUGGAUAUGUCCAAUGAUAAGUAAUUAGUAAGAUCAGAUGGCAGUAGCAGUCUGCACAUUUUAAACUCUCUGUAAAGUGUUGUACGCCUGUUACAGAUGUGAUAUCUGAGUCCGUAGCAUUAGAAAAAGGUGAUGAUUACUUAAUGUGGAAUUCGGGUUUUGCAGGGAGUACGAGUAUCUGGAUUAGACAGCCUUGCAUAAUGGUUCCUUUUGCCGACAUGUUGUGCUGAUAUGAGUUUGGGAGGUAGUUUAAUUACGGUCCCUUUACAAUAGUGUAGUUUGAAGUGUUUUUUUUCCUGAACCGUAGAUUGGUGAAUAGAGUAGAGUAGUUAUGCAAAUAUAUAUGUGUGGGUGUGUAUAUGUAUGUGUAUGUGUGUGUGUGUGUGUGUAUAUAUAUACAUAUGUGCUAUACGGUGUGCUAUGGAUAUGUCAUAUAAAGUAUACGAGUUACAAUAUUUAAAUAAUACAAAGCAGUGGUCACAAACUCGAGAAAGGGAGGAUAUACUACACAACCUGUGAAGUGAAUUGAAUUGAUAAUACGUUAUACAGCAGCUGAGAACUGAUAAAAACUGAGAGCUGAGAACUGGAUGCAGG